UACGUAGGGUGCAGGCGUUAAUCGGAAUUACUGGGCGUAAAGCGUGCGCAGGCGGUUUUGUAAGCCGGAUGUGAAAUCCCCGGGCUUAACCUGGGAAUGGCAUUCGGGACUGCAAGGCUGGAGUGCGGCAGAGGAGACUGGAAUUCCUGGUGUAGCAGUGAAAUGCGUAGAUAUCAGGAGGAACACCGAUGGCGAAGGCAGGUCUCAGGGCUGACACUGACGCUCAUGCACGAAAGCGUGGGGAGCAAACAGG
Molecule: ribosomal RNA, 253 nt
Filed under: uncultured bacterium
Lineage: Bacteria
Description: partial 16S ribosomal RNA
Rfam family: Bacterial small subunit ribosomal RNA
Source: RNAcentral